UCCAGACUCAGGCCUUUUCUCAGGCGGCCGGGAAGAUGGCGGACGCUCAGACUGAGCGUGCCUACCAAAAGCAGCCGACCAUCUUUCAAAACAAGAAGAGGGUCCUGCUGGGAGAAACUGGCAAGGAGAAGCUCCCGCGGUACUACAAGAAUAUCGGUCUGGGCUUCAAGACACUCAAGGAGGCUAUUGAGGGCACCUACAUUGACAAGAAAUGCCCCUUCACUGGUAAUGUGUCCAUUCGAGGCGGAUCCUCUCUGGCGUGGUGACCAAGAUGAAGAUGCAGAGGACCAUUGUCAUCCGCCGAGACUAUCUGCACUACAUCCGCAAGUACAACCGCUUCGAGAAGCGCCACAAGAACAUGUCUGUACACCUGUCCCCCUGCUUCAGGGACAUCCAGAUCGGUGACAUCGUCACAGUGGGCGAGUGCCGGCCUCUGAGCAAGACAGUGCGCUUCAACGUGCUCAAGGUCACCAAGGCUGCCAGCACCAAGAAGCAGUUCCAGAAGUUCUGAGGCUGGACGUCGGCCCGCUCCCCACAGUGAAAUAAAGUUAUUUUCUCAUUCCC
Nomascus leucogenys (northern white-cheeked gibbon) is the source of this 564-nucleotide RNA transcript. It is a transcript of the gene named 40S ribosomal protein S11-like, with no coding region annotated. The record is from RefSeq and is a predicted model, not a curated record. Lineage: Eukaryota; Metazoa; Chordata; Mammalia; Primates; Hylobatidae. The transcript has a single exon.